UUCACCACUGGUGCAGCUGCUAAAUAGCAAAGACCAGGAAGUGCUGCUUCAAACGGGCAGGGCUCUAGGAAACAUAUGUUACGAUAGCCAUGAGGGCAGAAGUGCAGUUGACCAAGCAGGUGGUGCACAGAUUGUAAUUGACCAUUUAAGGUCACUGUGCAGUAUAACAGAUCCCGCCAAUGAGAAGCUCUUGACUGUCUUUUGUGGCAUGCUGAUGAACUAUAGCAAUGAGAAUGAUCUCCAUUCUUUGGAGUUUCCAUGAGUGUGACCUGAAGAACUUGGAACCAUUGAAAUUCAAAUGUAGAUUCGCUUCAAGCUCAGCUUAUCAAUAUGGGUGUUAUUCCUACCUUAGUGAAAUUACUGGGCAUCCACUGCCAAAAUGCAGCUCUUACAGAAAUGUGUCUUGUUGCAUUUGGUAAUUUAGCAGAACUUG
RNAcentral lists this small RNA (433 nucleotides) under Pan troglodytes (chimpanzee). RNAcentral's name for it is "processed transcript". Lineage: Eukaryota; Metazoa; Chordata; Mammalia; Primates; Hominidae. The record is from RNAcentral.